GAUGAACGCUAGCGGGAGGCCUAACACAUGCAAGCCGAGCGGUAUUGUUUCUUCGGAAAUGAGAGAGCGGCGUACGGGUGCGGAACACGUGUGCAACCUGCCUUUAUCUGGGGGAUAGCCUUUCGAAAGGAAGAUUAAUACUCCAUAAUAUAUUGAACGGCAUCGUUUAAUAUUGAAAGCUCCGGCGGAUAGAGAUGGGCACGCGCAAGAUUAGCUAGUUGGUGAGGUAACGGCUCACCAAGGCGAUGAUCUUUAGGGGGCCUGAGAGGGUGAUCCCCCACACUGGUACUGAGACACGGACCAGACUCCUACGGGAGGCAGCAGUGAGGAAUAUUGGUCAAUGGGUGCAAGCCUGAACCAGCCAUCCCGCGUGAAGGACGACUGCCCUAUGGGUUGUAAACUUCUUUUGUAUAGGGAUAAACCUACCCUCGUGAGGGUAGCUGAAGGUACUAUACGAAUAAGCACCGGUUAACUCCGUGCCAGCAGCCGCGGUAAUACGGAGGGUGCAAGCGUUAUCCGGAUUUAUUGGGUUUAAAGGGUCCGUAGGCGGACUUAUAAGUCAGUGGUGAAAGCCUGUCGCUUAACGAUAGAACUGCCAUUGAUACUGUAAGUCUUGAGUAUAUUUGAGGUAGCUGGAAUAAGUAGUGUAGCGGUGAAAUGCAUAGAUAUUACUUAGAACACCAAUUGCGAAGGCAGGUUACCAAGAUAUAACUGACGCUGAGGGACGAAAGCGUGGGGAGCGAACAGGAUUAGAUACCCUGGUAGUCCACGCCGUAAACGAUGCUAACUCGUUUUUGGGCUUUAGGGUUCAGAGACCAAGCGAAAGUGAUAAGUUAGCCACCUGGGGAGUACGCUCGCAAGAGUGAAACUCGAAGGAAUUGACGGGGGCCCGCACAAGCGGUGGAUUAUGUGGUUUAAUUCGAUGAUACGCGAGGAACCUUACCAAGACUCAAAUGGGAAUUGACAGCUUUAGAAAUAGAGCUUUCUUCGGACAAUUUUCAAGGUGCUGCAUGGUUGUCGUCAGCUCGUGCCGUGAGGUGUUAGGUUAAGUCCUGCAACGAGCGCAACCCCUGUCACUAGUUGCCAUCAUUCAGUUGGGGACUCUAGUGAGACUGCCUACGCAAGUAGAGAGGAAGGUGGGGAUGACGUCAAAUCAUCACGGCCCUUACGUCUUGGGCCACACACGUAAUACAAUGGCCGGUACAGAGGGCAGCUACACAGCGAUGUGAUGCAAAUCUCGAAAGCCGGUCUCAGUUCGGAUUGGAGUCUGCAACUCGACUCUAUGAAGCUGGAAUCGCUAGUAAUCGCGCAUCAGCCAUGGCGCGGUGAAUACGUUCCCGGGCCU
This 1345-nucleotide ribosomal RNA is filed under the name uncultured bacterium. RNAcentral describes it as "bacterial SSU rRNA". It matches the Rfam family "Bacterial small subunit ribosomal RNA", at positions 28 to 1381 of the family's 1533-position model. The record is from RNAcentral.